UGGAGAGCUGGAGAAGCCAAAGGAGCCUGGGACAAGCCAACAUGUGAGGAAUGAAGACCAGAGGGGAAGGCAGAGAUGAAGCCGAACUCUAUUCCCCUGCCUUUUUGGAUAAAAAUCUCCCUUGCUGCUAUGUAUGUAGUAGAUCAAAAAGUGAAAAUCCAAUUAAGAAGAUGGACACUUCUGUAAUUUGAAACAUCAUUCAAGGGAUGAGGUCCUCUCCUAUUCAUGUCUUAACUGGUCUCAGAGUACCACUCUCUACAUCAGGGAUCCCCA
Xenopus laevis (African clawed frog) is the source of this 273-nucleotide long non-coding RNA. RefSeq lists it as uncharacterized. NCBI's taxonomy places the organism in Eukaryota, Metazoa, Chordata, Amphibia, Anura, Pipidae. The transcript has 3 exons. The record is from RefSeq and is a predicted model, not a curated record.